CCGACGGCUUUGUGAGUGAAAGUGAAGAGACACUUCGAGGCAGGAGGUCCUGGAACCAAUCCCCUCUGAUACUGAGAGACAACUAUUACACAAGAGAAAUAUUCUACCAUUCACAAAAUCUCGUUUAAGUGUUGUGAAAUACAAACACCAGGGAAUCAAGAACUUUAGAAAAUUGUGGCUGUGUUCCCAUAUGUGGUACAAAGAACCAGUGAGUCCCAUUUGUUGUGGUUCCUGCAUUCGAUGACUCCAGAUGUGCCACCACCGAGCUAGUCUUAUGACAACCUAGAAGGCAAAUUGGGAGAUAUGAACAAAAACAUUGAAAACAACAUAAAUGCCCUUCAACCAAGGAAUGGAGAAAUCACGACAUGUUAAUCCAAGAAAAUGCUAAGUAGUUGCUAAGGAUUAAUGAGCAUGGAUAAAUCUCAGCAACAUAAUACUGAAGGGAUGGCCCUAUAUUUGUCACUGAGAGCAGAAGGGUUGAGAACUUAGAUCCUGACAGGAGGCCCACCUUUAUUGGAGAAAUGGCUCUGCAACUUAGCUCAUGUAAGACUGCUGGGAUUUGAAAUUUAUCCUAUUAUUUGAAGACUGAAAUCAAAAUAUGAAGGUGGAGCAUCAUGUGUGCCUUCUGUCUUGUUCUCUACUAGGGUGUAAACCAUUUAACUAAAAAUAGUCUCCAAUUUGACACCUUCCCAACAUUUCACUAGUAUACUCCAAAUCUCCAUGCAGGGUUACAGACCUAUUUCAGCUGGCUCCAUUUACUCUGAGGCAGAUAAAGCUGAGAUUGCAACAUCAGAAGCAGUUCAACCAAUCAUUAUGUACAAACCUCAGCCCAUUUGUAUAAUGCAAUCCUUCUGGUAGUAAUGACACAAAACAUGCCUAUAGGGACGAUCACAACCCUGUCAAAGUCCCAAGUCAUCUGUGGCACCAGGGCCACAGAACUUCUUACCACUUGGAAGCAAAAUAGUUGCUUUAAUGGUAACCAAAUGCCCUCCUUCAAGACAGUAUUUCAAGAAGGAGGAGUAUACGUAUAUUAUACAAACAUAUCCAAUCCCUUUAGAAGAUAAUUAUCAAUAUCAUGCAGGGAAGCUGGAACACACACACAAAAUCGAGUACUAUCUAGAAGAUCAAGCCACAAAUCUCAAGAGAAGCAGUAAGUGUCCAGGGCCUGGGAUUUUUUAUCUUGGCCGUGAGAAUAGCACAGCCCAUGGUGCAGAAACGACAGGCUAGUUGUCCAGCAUAACAUGGUGUUUUAUUUCACCAUAGUAGACUGCUGGGAAAUCUCUGGAGGCCUUGGCAGCUGUGUCUUGUCUUUAAUAUGAAGCCUGGGGGGGAAGACAGAGAGAGAGACUCAUAAUUCACAAGAGGCCCAGCCGUAAGAAAGCCAUUCUAAAUAACUGAAUCAGGCACCGAGGAGGAGCGACUAUUCCAUUCCUAAGUCAAGAAUGCUUUUUGUCUUUCCUUCUCUCCUAAUUGGCUCAUGAAAAGAUCAUUUAUGUGUGGUAGAAUCAGUACAUCAGAGGCAGCUUCUGUUUCUCUCCAUUUCUCCUCCCCACUGCUGCUGUCCUGUAAAAAGACCCUUUGUUACAGACUGAAACAGCAGAUGCAGCUCAGAUAUUAUCUUGAAUAAUUUUGUGGGGAGCAUUUUAUCUUGAAUUGGUGUAAUGCCAUUUUCACGUGGAAAGUGGUUCUAUGUCUGAUCCAAAUGUUCUAGAAACUUGAGAGACCCAUAUGGCAAAGAAGUACUUUACACACAUAUCUCUUUAAAGUAGUGCAGGGUAUGGGAAGAACUGAUAAUGCUGAUUAAAUGAUAUGUAGACGAAAUGAAUGUAAACUGGCAUCAUGGGCUGAGUGAGUCAGGGGAGGCCUUGUGGAAGAGAUAAGAGUAAUAGAAAAUGCUAGGUCAAGUAUGUGUAGAGGCCUGGAGAGAGGAAUGGACUUAGUGGGUCCAAAAGUAAGAAGACUUGUUUGUUGUGAAUACAGAGUUAGAAGUAGGUAGAAGAAAAAGUUGGUCGGGUCCUGCAGAGAUUAAAAAUCCGGUUUAAGAUUUUAGAUUGUUUCAAUCAUCAAUUAGUUGGUGUCUGUGUUCAUUGUGGAAAUGCUUUAAAUAUAGAUAACAAAAAGGAUAAUAACUUACAAUCCUACCAGUCGUAGGAUGAUGAUGGCAGACAAUGUGGUGCACAUUCUUUCAUAUAUUUUAUUGUCCUAGUUUAAGGUUCCCUAUAGGCAGAUCCUGAGAUGAAGAUUUAAAUGCACACCACUUAUUGAGGAGGUGAUUUCAGGAAACACCGGCAGGAGAGUGGGGCAGUAUGACAGGGAAAGAAAGGAAGCAAAAAAAUAAAGGGCAUGUUCUCAAAGGAAUCAGUUGGAGAGCAGUCAUGCUGGAGACACUGGAAGAGAGUAUAGAAGAUGUCUCAAUGUAGUCCUGCCUAGGGAUCAGGAAGUCGAAGUAUUUAUCCACUAAUUCUUGUCAAUUGAGAAUUUAUUUGAGGGGCAUUAACUCUCCAAAACGGUCUCCCUGUGCCGGAAAAAUAACCCUAAGCAGAAUGUUGUAGGUAUUUGCAGCAAAUAGCCCUCAGUGUGUCCUGAGGAUUGGUGUAGUACAUAAAUAUACAAAAUUAUUUUUAUUUAUAAAAAAGCUUUCUAUGCAUCAGGCUCUGUACUGUGUGUUUUACUUGCAUUCACUCAAAAUAGUUCUCACAGAAGCCCUAUGAGGUCGGCGCUACUCUUAUCCCCUGAGGAUUAGAGGCUGGGAGAAGUAUAUAUGAGAGUCAUAUGGAGAUUAAAUACCUGAAGUCAUGAGGAGAUGAUGCACUCUCCAAGAGAGCUUUGAUGACAGCCUAUUUAUGCAGCUUCUGUCAUCUGUACACAUUCUCCUCUUUCUGUCAACAAAGAGUUUUUCUUUUGCAAUUGUAAAUGUCCUCUGUUUUCAGAGACUUUUGUUGGAAAACAAAACAAAAUCUUGAGACAUGAAGGAUCUGUAAUGGACACCUGUCGAUUGUGUCUGUUCAGCAGCUCCUCUCCCACCUGUCUUCCAGUACAACACCUUAUUUCAUUGGAGAGAAAGGUUCUACCUCUUCUCCUUAAGGUUUUAGUGGACAGCCAAACCAGUCUUCAGUCUACAGGGUGAGUAUGAGAUCCAGGCUUGACCAACCAUAGUCACCACCCACUUGGCUACAUCAAAUUGAGCCAGAAAGAGCCUUUCCCUGGGAAUUUAUAUGUAGACUUUGGGAAAAGGAAGCUUUCUUCUCUGAUGUUACUAGACAGCGAUGACAAAACCAGUGCUUGUCUGGACCAUGCUCCACUUCCUCUCCACAGCAAGAUGAGCAAGCUCAUCUGUAGUAGGAAAGAAUGUAGGAAUGCAUCCCCUGCAC
This is a long non-coding RNA of Homo sapiens (human), 3371 nucleotides long. Ensembl annotates it as SEPTIN7 divergent transcript. Its record names the gene SEPTIN7-DT. The record is from Ensembl. NCBI's taxonomy places the organism in Eukaryota, Metazoa, Chordata, Mammalia, Primates, Hominidae.